GACGAACGCUGGCGGCGUGCUUAACACAUGCAAGUCGAGCGGAAAGGCCCUUCGGGGUACUCGAGCGGCGAACGGGUGAGUAACACGUGAGUAAUCUGCCCUUGGCUUUGGGAUAACUACCGGAAACGGUGGCUAAUACCGGAUACGACAACCGUCUGCACGGGCUGGUUGUGGAAAGUUUUUUCGGCCAGGGAUGUGCUCGCGGCCUAUCAGCUUGUUGGUGGGGUAAUGGCCUACCAAGGCUUCGACGGGUAGCCGGCCUGAGAGGGUGACCGGCCACACUGGGACUGAGACACGGCCCAGACUCCUACGGGAGGCAGCAGUGGGGAAUAUUGGACAAUGGGCGGAAGCCUGAUCCAGCAACGCCGCGUGAGGGAUGACGGCCUUCGGGUUGUAAACCUCUUUCAGUACCGACGAAGUGCCGAUGAUGGUGGUGACGGUAGGUACAGAAGAAGCACCGGCCAACUACGUG
This 472-nucleotide ribosomal RNA is filed under the name uncultured bacterium. RNAcentral describes it as "partial 16S ribosomal RNA". It matches the Rfam family "Bacterial small subunit ribosomal RNA", at positions 28 to 507 of the family's 1533-position model. The record is from RNAcentral.